CACAUGCAAGUCGAACGAUGAAGCCCAGCUUGCUGGGUGGAUUAGUGGCGAACGGGUGAGUAACACGUGAGUAACCUGCCCCCGACUCUGGGAUAAGCCCGGGAAACUGGGUCUAAUACCGGAUAUUACCUUUGACCGCAUGGUUGUUGGUGGAAAGAUUUAUCGGUGGGGGAUGGACUCGCGGCCUAUCAGCUUGUUGGUGAGGUAAUGGCUCACCAAGGCGACGACGGGUAGCCGGCCUGAGAGGGUGACCGGCCACACUGGGACUGAGACACGGCCCAGACUCCUACGGGAGGCAGCAGUGGGGAAUAUUGCACAAUGGGCGAAAGCCUGAUGCAGCGACGCCGCGUGAGGGAUGACGGCCUUCGGGUUGUAAACCUCUUUCAGUAGGGAAGAAGCGAAAGUGACGGUACCUGCAGAAGAAGCGCCGGCUAACUACGUGCCAGCAGCCGCGGUAAUACGUAGGGCGCAAGCGUUAUCCGGAUUUAUUGGGCGUAAAGAGCUCGUAGGCGGUUUGUCGCGUCUGCCGUGAAAGUCCGAGGCUCAACCUCGGAUCUGCGGUGGUAC
Molecule: ribosomal RNA, 567 nt
Filed under: Glutamicibacter arilaitensis
Lineage: Bacteria; Bacillati; Actinomycetota; Actinomycetes; Micrococcales; Micrococcaceae
Description: bacterial SSU rRNA
Rfam family: Bacterial small subunit ribosomal RNA
Source: RNAcentral